Molecule: transfer RNA, 72 nt
Filed under: bacterium
Lineage: Bacteria
Description: tRNA-Lys
Rfam family: tRNA
About the family: Transfer RNA (tRNA) molecules are approximately 80 nucleotides in length. Their secondary structure includes four short double-helical elements and three loops (D, anti-codon, and T loops).
Source: RNAcentral
GCCUUCGAAGCUAAAGUGGAUAGCAUUCGGCUCUUAACCGAAUUAUAGUGGGUUCGAGUCCCUCCGAAGGCA